UUCUUUUUUUUUUGCCUUUUAUUAUGAAAAUAAAUUUCAAACUAAUUCAUUAUAGUGUUGCAAUGAUGUGCUGCAUCAUGUGUCCAUUCCUUUUUUUUUUUAAAUGUAUUUAUAGUUCUGUCAUAAUAGUUACUGUUGCUUAGCCUGUUAGAGGGCUUCAUAGUUGUGGUUUUCAGCUCCUAUGUAAUUAAAAAAACACAUGUAUUUCACCAUACAUGAAAAGGAUAGGUCAUCUGAAGUUUUUGUGCUGCUGUCUUGUAUAUUCUUAUUCUUUCCAUUUGCUUAGUAUUCUAGUAGCUUUUUAUGUAUUAAAAGUGCAAGGCGGACUAAGGCGCCAAGAGGUCUUGAGCCUAGGUGCAAGGUGUAGGCACGCAACGCAACUGAGUGACAUAAGGCUCAAAAUAUUUUUUUUUAAUAAAAAAAAAUCAAUAUCACUUAAUUACAUUACAUAUUUAAGAAAAAAAAUUACAGAAAUUCUAUCUAAACAACUUGAAAAUUUUAACAAUUUCCAUAGCAAAAAUCUGAAGUAAACAAAUUAAUCACCAAGAAAAAUUGAUUAUACAACAAAUUAUUCACUUUGAAUGAAUUAAACAUGCCCAAUUAAAAAAAAUUAAUAUAUAUCAAGAAAUUAAAGAGAGGGUCUUUUAUGAAUUACCUUCUUUUCUUUUUAAUUU
Molecule: unclassified non-coding RNA, 674 nt
Filed under: Hevea brasiliensis (rubber tree)
Lineage: Eukaryota; Viridiplantae; Streptophyta; Magnoliopsida; Malpighiales; Euphorbiaceae
Source: RNAcentral